UGGGGAAUAUUGCACAAUGGGCGAAAGCCUGAUGCAGCGACCCCGCGUGAGGGAUGACGGCCUUCGGGUUGUAAACCUCUUUCAGUAGGGACGAAGCGCAAGUGACGGUACCUGCAGAAGAAGCACCGGCUAACUACGUGCCAGCAGCCGCGGUAAUACGUAGGGUGCGAGCGUUGUCCGGAAUUACUGGGCGUAAAGAGCUCGUAGGCGGUUUGUCACGUCGUCUGUGAAAUCCUAGGGCUUAACCCUGGACGUGCAGGCGAUACGGGCUGACUUGAGUACUACAGGGGAGACUGGAAUUUCUGGUGUAGCGGUGGAAUGCACAGAUAUCAGGAAGAACACCGAUGGCGAAGGCAGGUCUCUGGGUAGUAACUGACGCUGAGGAGCGAAAGCAUGGGUAGCGAACAGG
RNAcentral lists this ribosomal RNA (409 nucleotides) under bacterium. RNAcentral's name for it is "partial 16S ribosomal RNA". It matches the Rfam family "Bacterial small subunit ribosomal RNA", at positions 355 to 776 of the family's 1533-position model. The record is from RNAcentral.